Molecule: long non-coding RNA, 225 nt
Filed under: Panicum hallii
Lineage: Eukaryota; Viridiplantae; Streptophyta; Magnoliopsida; Poales; Poaceae
Description: long non-coding RNA (PHAL_LNC000356)
Source: RNAcentral
GCCCGACGGUCGCGGCAAAUCGGAGUCGGAGGGGUGUGACGGCUUUCUGCUCGUGCAGGCCCUUCGGGCGUUCCGCGCCCGAGCUCGUCAGGUGGUAGAACGUCGACGAGGAGGGGCAGACGGGGUGCGGAACGACAAGGAGAUGCCCGUGCUGGUGGCGACUUGCGCCGGCGUGGCUCGAGGCGGCCGGAAUCGCACAGUCAUCGGCUGUGCGGCGGCGGUCGG